GACGCACGCUGGCGGCGUGCUUAACACAUGCAAGUCGAACGAAGAGCGAUGGAAGCUUGCUUCUAUCAAUCUUAGUGGCGAACGGGUGAGUAACGCGUAAUCAACCUGCCCUUCAGAGGGGGACAACAGUUGGAAACGACUGCUAAUACCGCAUACGAUCUAAUCUCGGCAUCGAGGAUAGAUGAAAGGUGGCCUCUACAUGUAAGCUAUCACUGAAGGAGGGGAUUGCGUCUGAUUAGCUAGUUGGAGGGGUAACGGCCCACCAAGGCGAUGAUCAGUAGCCGGUCUGAGAGGAUGAACGGCCACAUUGGGACUGAGACACGGCCCAGACUCCUACGGGAGGCAGCAGUGGGGAAUCUUCCGCAAUGGACGAAAGUCUGACGGAGCAACGCCGCGUGAGUGAUGACGGCCUUCGGGUUGUAAAGCUCUGUUAAUCGGGACGAAAGGCCUUCUUGCGAAUAGUGAGAAGGAUUGACGGUACCGGAAUAGAAAGCCACGGCUAACUACGUG
This 510-nucleotide ribosomal RNA is filed under the name uncultured bacterium. Its description in RNAcentral is "partial 16S ribosomal RNA". It matches the Rfam family "Bacterial small subunit ribosomal RNA", at positions 28 to 507 of the family's 1533-position model. The record is from RNAcentral.